CUAAAUUCAUAGGCACAUAAGGCGAACCUGGAGAACUGAAACAUCUAAGUACCCAGAGGAAAAAAAAAUCAACCGAGAUUCCGUUAGUAGCGGCGAGCGAAAGCGGAACAGCCCAGUUACUAAAUCGUUAUUGGCUUUAGCAGAAUGUUCUGGAAAGUUCAGCCGUAGUAGGUGAUAGCCCCGUAUGUAAAAAGGCUAAUAAUGUGAGUAACAAUGAGUAAGUCGGGACACGUGAAAUCUUGACUGAAUAUGGGGGGACCAUCCUCCAAGGCUAAAUACUCCUUACUGACCGAUAGCGAACUAGUACCGUAAGGGAAAGGUAAAAAGAACCCCGACAAGGGGAGUGAAAUAGAACCUGAAACCGUAUGCGUACAAGCAGUCAAAGCAUUUUUUCGAAAAUGUAAUGGCGUACCUUUUGUAUAAUGGGUCAGCGACUUACUUGUUGUAGCAAGCUUAACCGUAUAGGGGAGGCGUAAGGAAACUGAGUCUGAAAUAGGCGUUUAGUUGCAACGAGUAGACCCGAAACCGGGCGAUCUAUCUAUGGCCAGGGUGAAGGUCAAGUAACACUGACUGGAGGCCCGAACUCACUACUGUUGAAAAAGUAGGGGAUGAGUUGUAGAUAGGAGUGAAAGACUAAUCAAGCUCGGAAAUAGCUGGUUCUCCUCGAAAGCUAUUUAGGUAGCGCCUCGUGUAUGACUCUUGGGGGUAGAGCACUGUUUCGGCUAAAAGGCCUCUCAGCCUGCUAAACCGAGGCAAACUCCGAAUACCAAGAAGUUUUAGCACGGGAGACACACUGCGGGUGAUAAGGUCCGUGGUGAAAAGGGAAACAGCCCAGACCGCCAGCUAAGGUCCCAAAAUUACAGUUAAGUGAAAAACGAUGUAGGAAGUCUCAGACAGCCAGGAGGUUGGCUUAGAAGCAGCCAUCCUUUAAAGAAAGCGUAAUAGCUCACUGGUCAAGUCGUCCUGCGCGAAAGAUUUAACGGGGCUUAAACUGUAUACCGAAGCUGCGGAGCUCUUUUUAGAGCUGGUAGAGGAGCGUUCUGUAAACCUGUGAAGGUAAAUCGAAAGGUUUACUGGAGGUAUCAGAAGUGCAAAUGCUGACAUAAGUAACGAUAAUGUAGGUGAAAAACCUACACGCCGAAAGUCCAAGGUUUCCUGCGCAACGCUAAUCGGCGCAGGGUGAGUCGGCCCCUAAGGUAAAGCAGAAAUGCGUAGUCGAUGGGAAACAGGUUAAUAUUCCUGUACUUUACAAUACUGCGAUGGGAGGACGAAGAAGGCUAGGUCAGCCACUUAAUGGUUGUAGUGGUUUAAGUGUGUAGGAAAAGUUCUUUGGCAAAUCCGGGAACUUAAUUCUGAGAUAUAAUGACAAAGCAUGACUUGUUCAUGCGAAGUGACUAAUGCCACGCUUCCAGGAAAAGUCUCUAAGCUUCAGGUGUUGUAAAACCGUACCUAAACCGACACAGGUAGACAAGUAGAGAAUACUAAGGCGUUUGAGAGAACUUGGGUGAAGGAACUAGGCAAAAUGACACCGUAACUUCGGGAGAAGGUGUGCCUUUAAUAAGUGAAAGUCUUCACGACUAAAGCUGAAAAAGGUUGCAAAUACCAGGUGGCUGCGACUGUUUACUAAAAACACAGCACUCUGCAAACUCGUAAGAGGACGUAUAGGGUGUGACGCCUGCCCGGUGCCGGAAGGUUAAAUGAUGGAGUUAGUUUUCGAGCAAAGCUUCAGAUUGAAGCCCCGGUAAACGGCGGCCGUAACUAUAACGGUCCUAAGGUAGCGAAAUUCCUUGUCGGGUAAGUUCCGACCUGCACGAAUGGCGUAACGAUGGCCACGCUGUCUCCACCCAAGGCUCAGUGAAAUUGAAAUCGCUGUGAAGAUGCAGCGUACCCGCGGCUAGACGGAAAGACCCCGUGAACCUUUACUACAGCUUUACACUGAAUUUUGAAUAUGCCUGUGUAGAAUAGGUGGGAGGCUUUGAAGCUGAACGCUAGUUCUAGUGGAGCCAUUCUUGAAAUACCACCCUGGUGUGUUUAAAGUUCUAACCUUGACCCGUUAUCCGGGUUGGAGACAGUGUAUGGUAGGUAGUUUGACUGGGGCGGUCUCCUCCAAAAAAGUAACGGAGGAGUACAAAGGUACCCUCAGCACGGUCGGAAAUCGUGCAUUGUGUGCAAAGGCAUAAGGGUGCUUAACUGCGAGACCGACAAGUCGAGCAGAUACGAAAGUAGGUCUUAGUGAUCCGGUGGUCCCUUAUGGAAGGGCCAUCGCUCAACGGAUAAAAGGUACUCCGGGGAUAACAGGCUAAUACCACCCAAGAGUUCAUAUCGACGGUGGUGUUUGGCACCUCGAUGUCGGCUCAUCACAUCCUGGGGCUGUAGCCGGUCCCAAGGGUAUGGCUGUUCGCCAUUUAAAGUGGUACGUGAGCUGGGUUUAGAACGUCGUGAGACAGUUCGGUCCCUAUCUGCCGUGGGCGUUGGAGAUUUGAGAGGAGCUGCUCCUAGUACGAGAGGACCGGAGUGGACGUACCUCUGGUGUUCCGGUUGUCACGCCAGUGGCACGGCCGGGUAGCUAAGUACGGACAGGAUAAUCGCUGAAAGCAUCUAAGCAAGAAGCCUCCCUCAAGAUGAGAUCUCCCCGGACCCUAGAGGUCCCUAAAGAUUCGUUGAAGACUACAACGUUGAUAGGCAGGAUGUGGAAGCUCAGUAAUGAGUGAAGCUAACCUGUACUAAUUAAUCGUGAGACUUGACUAU
RNAcentral lists this ribosomal RNA (2748 nucleotides) under Rhipicephalus bursa. Its description in RNAcentral is "bacterial LSU rRNA". It matches the Rfam family "Bacterial large subunit ribosomal RNA". Lineage: Eukaryota; Metazoa; Arthropoda; Arachnida; Ixodida; Ixodidae. The record is from RNAcentral.